RNAcentral lists this ribosomal RNA (317 nucleotides) under uncultured bacterium. RNAcentral's name for it is "bacterial SSU rRNA". It matches the Rfam family "Bacterial small subunit ribosomal RNA", at positions 28 to 346 of the family's 1533-position model. The record is from RNAcentral.
GACGAACGCUGGCGGCGUGCUUAACACAUGCAAGUCGAGCGGUAAGGCCCUUUCGGGGUACACGAGCGGCGAACGGGUGAGUAACACGUGGGUGACCUGCCCUCAGCUCUGGGAUAAGCCUGGGAAACCGGGUCUAAUACUGGAUAUGACUCCAUGACGCAUGUUGUGGGGUGGAAAGCCUUGUAGCGGCUGAGGAUGGGCCCGCGGCCUAUCAGCUUGUUGGUGGGGUGANGGCCUACCAAGGCGACGACGGGUAGCCGGCCUGAGAGGGCGACCGGCCACACUGGGACUGAGACACGGCCCAGACUCCUACGGGA